Molecule: ribosomal RNA, 409 nt
Filed under: uncultured bacterium
Lineage: Bacteria
Description: bacterial SSU rRNA
Rfam family: Bacterial small subunit ribosomal RNA
Source: RNAcentral
GUGCCAGCCGCCGCGGUAAUACGGAAGGUCCGGGCGUUAUCCGGAUUUAUUGGGUUUAAAGGGAGCGUAGGCGGGCGUUUAAGUCAGCUGUGAAAAGCUGCGGCUCAACCGUAGUCGUGCAGUUGAUACUGGUAGCCUUGAGUGCGGUUGAGGCAGGCGGAAUUCGUGGUGUAGCGGUGAAAUGCUUAGAUAUCACGAAGAACCCCGAUUGCGAAGGCAGCCUGCCAAGCCGUUACUGACGUUCAUGCUCGAAGGUGCGGGUAUCAAACAGGAUUAGAUACCCUGGUAGUCCGCACGGUAAACGAUGGACACUCGCUGUUGGCGACAUACAGUCAGCGGCUUAGCGAAAGCGUUAAGUGUCCCACCUGGGGAGUACGCCGGCAACGGUGAAACUCAAAUGAAUUGACGG